AAUAGAUACCCUGGUAGUCCUAGCCGUAAACGAUGGACACUAGGUGUUGGUGGUAUCAACCCCACCAGUGCCGAAGCUAACGCAUUAAGUGUCCCGCCUGGGGAGUACGGCCGCAAGGCUAAAACUCAAAGGAAUUGACGGGGCCCCGCGACAAGCAGCGGAGCGUGGGGUUUAAUUCGAUGCAACGCGAAGAACCUUACCAGGGCUUGACAUGACCAGGAAUCCGGCGGAAACGUCGGCGCCCCGCAAGGGGCCUGGCCACAGGUGUUGCAUGGCUGUCGUCAGCUCGUGUCGUGAGAUGUUGGGUUAAGUCCCGCAACGAGCGCAACCCUACCGUGUGUUGUAUCACUCACACGGGACUGCCGAGAGAAACUCGGAGGAAGGCGGGGAUGACGUCAAGUCAGCAUGGCCCUUACGUCCUGGGCUACACCCACGCUACAAUGGCCGGUACAACGGGCUGCGAAACCGCGAGGUGGAGCAAAUCCCUUAAAGCCGGUCUCAGUUCGGAUUGUAGGCUGCAACUCGCCUACAUGAAGCCGGAGUUGCUAGUAACCG
RNAcentral lists this ribosomal RNA (555 nucleotides) under uncultured bacterium. Its description in RNAcentral is "bacterial SSU rRNA". It matches the Rfam family "Bacterial small subunit ribosomal RNA", at positions 777 to 1344 of the family's 1533-position model. The record is from RNAcentral.